This 1077-nucleotide ribosomal RNA is filed under the name uncultured beta proteobacterium. RNAcentral's name for it is "bacterial SSU rRNA". It matches the Rfam family "Bacterial small subunit ribosomal RNA", at positions 434 to 1504 of the family's 1533-position model. The record is from RNAcentral. Lineage: Bacteria; Pseudomonadati; Pseudomonadota; Betaproteobacteria.
UCGGCGGGGAAGAAAUCGCAUGGGUUAAUACCCUGUGCGGAUGACGGUACCGGCAUAAGAAGCACCGGCUAACUACGUGCCAGCAGCCGCGGUAAUACGUAGGGUGCGAGCGUUAAUCGGAAUUACUGGGCGUAAAGCGUGCGCAGGCGGUUUGUUAAGAUAGGCGUGAAAUCCCCGGGCUCAACCUGGGAACUGCGCUUAUGACUGGCAAGCUAGAGUACGGCAGAGGGGGGUGGAAUUCCACGUGUAGCAGUGAAAUGCGUAGAGAUGUGGAGGAACACCAAUGGCGAAGGCAGCCCCCUGGGUCGAUACUGACGCUCAUGCACGAAAGCGUGGGUAGCAAACGGGAUUAGAUACCCUGGUAGUCCACGCCCUAAACGAUGUCAACUAGGUGUUGGAUGGGUAAAACCAUUUAGUACCGGAGCUAACGCGCGAAGUUGACCGCCUGGGGAGUACGGCCGCAAGGUUAAAACUCAAAGGAAUUGACGGGGACCCGCACAAGCGGUGGAUGAUGUGGAUUAAUUCGAUGCAACGCGAAAAACCUUACCUACCCUUGACAUGUCCAGGAGCCUGAAGAGAUUUGGGUGUGCCCGAAAGGGAACUGGAACACAGGUGCUGCAUGGCUGUCGUCAGCUCGUGUCGUGAGAUGUUGGGUUAAGUCCCGCAACGAGCGCAACCCUUGUCGUUAAUUGCCAUCAUUUAGUUGGGCACUUUAACGAGACUGCCGGUGACAAACCGGAGGAAGGUGGGGAUGACGUCAAGUCCUCAUGGCCCUUAUGGGUAGGGCUUCACACGUCAUACAAUGGUCGGUACAAAGGGUUGCCAAGCCGCGAGGUGGAGCCAAUCCCAGAAAGCCGAUCGUAGUCCGGAUUGCAGGCUGCAACUCGCCUGCAUGAAGUCGGAAUCGCUAGUAAUCGUGGAUCAGCACGUCACGGUGAAUACGUUCCCGGGUCUUGUACACACCGCCCGUCACACCAUGGGAGCGGGUUCCGCCAGAAGUAGGUAGCCUAACCGCAAGGGGNGCGCUUACCACGGCGGGGUUCGUGACUGGGGUGAAGUCGUAACAAGGUAGCCGUA